CCGUAGCUAACGCGUUAAGCAUCCCACCUGGGGAGUACGCCGGCAACGGUGAAACUCAAAGGAUUUGACGGGGGCCCGCACAAGCGGAGGAACAUGUGGUUUAAUUCGAUAAUACGCGAGGAACCUUACCCGGGCUUGAAUUGCAGAGGAAGGAUUUAGAGAUAAUGACGCCCUUCGGGGUCUCUGUGAAGGUGCUGCAUGGUUGUCGUCAGCUCGUGCCGUGAGGUGUCGGCUUAAGUGCCAUAACGAGCGCAACCCCUCUCUUCAGUUGCCAUCAGGUUAAGCUGGGCACUCUGGAGACACUGCCACCGUAAGGUGUGAGGAAGGUGGGGAUGACGUACAAAUCAGCACGGCCCUUACGUCCGGGGCUACACACGUGUUACAAUGGCCGGUACAGAGGGACGGUGUAAUGCAAAUUGCAUCC
This 424-nucleotide ribosomal RNA is filed under the name uncultured Prevotella sp. Its description in RNAcentral is "bacterial SSU rRNA". It matches the Rfam family "Bacterial small subunit ribosomal RNA", at positions 846 to 1269 of the family's 1533-position model. The record is from RNAcentral. Lineage: Bacteria; Pseudomonadati; Bacteroidota; Bacteroidia; Bacteroidales; Prevotellaceae.